UACGGGAGGCAGCAGUGGGGAAUAUUGCACAAUGGGGGAAACCCUGAUGCAGCGACGCCGCGUGAGUGAUGAAGUAUUUCGGUAUGUAAAGCUCUAUCAGCAGGGAAGAAAAUGACGGUACCUGACUAAGAGGCCCCGGCUAACUACGUGCCAGCAGCCGCGGUAAU
This 167-nucleotide ribosomal RNA is filed under the name uncultured rumen bacterium. RNAcentral's name for it is "partial 16S ribosomal RNA". It matches the Rfam family "Bacterial small subunit ribosomal RNA", at positions 340 to 524 of the family's 1533-position model. The record is from RNAcentral.